This 495-nucleotide ribosomal RNA is filed under the name uncultured bacterium. Its description in RNAcentral is "partial 16S ribosomal RNA". It matches the Rfam family "Bacterial small subunit ribosomal RNA", at positions 28 to 507 of the family's 1533-position model. The record is from RNAcentral.
GACGAACGCUGGCGGCGUGCCUAAUACAUGCAAGUCGAACGCUGAAGGAGGAGCUUGCUCUUCUGGAUGAGUUGCGAACGGGUGAGUAACGCGUAGGUAACCCGCCUGGUAGCGGGGGAUAACUAUUGGAAACGAUAGCUAAUACCGCAUAACAGUAGAUGUUGCAUGACAUUUGCUUAAAAGGUGCAAUUGCACCACUACCAGAUGGACCUGCGUUGUAUUAGCUAGUUGGUGGGGUAACGGCUCACCAAGGCGACGAUACAUAGCCGACCUGAGAGGGUGAUCGGCCACACUGGGACUGAGACACGGCCCAGACUCCUACGGGAGGCAGCAGUAGGGAAUCUUCGGCAAUGGACGGAAGUCUGACCGAGCAACGCCGCGUGAGUGAAGAAGGUUUUCGGAUCGUAAAGCUCUGUUGUAAGAGAAGAACGAGUGUGAGAGUGGAAAGUUCACACUGUGACGGUAUCUUACCAGAAAGGGACGGCUAACUACGUG